UUGCUCCGCUGACGACCGGCGCACGGGUGCGCACCGCGUAUGGAACCUACCUUGUACAGGGGAAUAGCCCAGGGAAACUUGGAUUAAUGCCCCGUGGUACCAUGACCCGGCAUCGGGAUAUGGUUAAAGCCUUCGGGCGGUACAAGAUGGCCAUGCGUCCCAUUAGUUUGUUGGUAAGGUAACGGCUUACCAAGACUACGAUGGGUAGGGGCCCUGAGAGGGGGAUCCCCCACACUGGUACUGAGACACGGACCAGACUCCUACGGGAGGCAGCAGUGAGGAAUAUUGGACAAUGGAGGAGACUCUGAUCCAGCCAUGCCGCGUGCAGGAAGAAUGCCCUAUGGGUAGUAAACUGCUUUUAUACGGGAAGAAAAAGAGCUACGUGUAGCUUACUGACGGUACCGUAAGAAUAAGGACCGGCUAACUCCGUGCCAGCAGCCGCGGUAAUACGGAGGGUCCGAGCGUUAUCCGGAAUUAUUGGGUUUAAAGGGUCCGUAGGCGGGCCGAUAAGUCAGGGGUGAAAGUCUGCCGCUCAACGGUAGAACUGCCUUUGAUACUGUCGGUCUUGAGUUAUAGUGAAGUUGCCGGAAUAUGUAGUGUAGCGGUGAAAUGCAUAGAUAUUACAUAGAACACCGAUUGCGAAGGCAGGUGACUAACUAUAUACUGACGCUGAUGGACGAAAGCGUGGGGAGCGAACAGGAUUAGAUACCCUGGUAGUCCACGCCGUAAACGAUGGAUACUAGCUGUCCGGAACCUUGAGUUCUGGGCGGCCAAGCGAAAGUGAUAAGUAUCCCACCUGGGGAGUACGUUCGCAAGAAUGAAACUCAAAGGAAUUGACGGGGGCCCGCACAAGCGGUGGAGCAUGUGGUUUAAUUCGAUGAUACGCGAGGAACCUUACCAGGGCUUAAAUGCAUAUUGACAGGUCUAGAGAUAGAUUUUCCUUCGGGCAAUUUGCAAGGUGCUGCAUGGUUGUCGUCAGCUCGUGCCGUGAGGUGUCAGGUUAAGUCCUAUAACGAGCGCAACCCCUACCGUUAGUUGCCAGCAUGUCAUGAUGGGGACUCUAACGGGACUGCCGGUGCAAACCGUGAGGAAGGGUGGGGAUGACGUCAAAUCAUCACGGCCCUUACGUCCUGGGCCACACACGUGCUACAAUGGCAGGUACAGAGAGCAGCCAUGUCGCAAGGCAGAGCGAAUCUAUAAAACCUGUCACAGUUCGGAUCGGGGUCUGCAACUCGACCCCGUGAAGCUGGAAUCGCUAGUAAUCGGAUAUCAGCCAUGAUCCGGUGAAUACGUUCCCGGGCCUUGUACACACCGCCCGUCAAGCCAUGGAAGCCGGGAGUGC
RNAcentral lists this ribosomal RNA (1342 nucleotides) under bacterium EBAD48. Its description in RNAcentral is "bacterial SSU rRNA". It matches the Rfam family "Bacterial small subunit ribosomal RNA", at positions 80 to 1420 of the family's 1533-position model. The record is from RNAcentral.